RNAcentral lists this ribosomal RNA (400 nucleotides) under uncultured eukaryote. RNAcentral describes it as "SSU rRNA". It matches the Rfam family "Eukaryotic small subunit ribosomal RNA", at positions 567 to 975 of the family's 1831-position model. The record is from RNAcentral.
CCAGCACCUGCGGUAAUUCCAGCUCCAAUAGCGUAUAUUAAAGUUGUUGCAGUUAAAAAGCUCGUAGUUGGAUUUGUGGGUGUUACUGAGGUCCCAAUUUUUUGGGUACUAUCGGUGACGGCCAUCCUUGGGUGGAAGCUGUGUGGCAUUAGGUUGUCGUGCAGUGGAUGCCCACCGUUUACUGUGAAAAAAUUAGAGUGUUCAAAGCAGGCUUAUGCCGUUGAAUAUAUUAGCAUGGAAUAAUGAGAUAGGACCUUGGUACUAUUUUGUUGGUUUGCGCACCGAGGUAAUGAUUAAUAGGGACAGUUGGGGGUAUUCGUAUUCCAUUGUCAGAGGUGAAAUUCUUGGAUUUCUGGAAGACGAACCACUGCGAAAGCAUUUACCAAGGAUGUUUUCAUUA